UACGGAAGGCAGCAGUGGGGAAUAUUGCACAAUGGGCGCAAGCCUGAUGCAGCCAUGCCGCGUGUAUGAAGAAGGCCUUCGGGUUGUAAAGUACUUUCAGUCGUGAGGAAGGUGUUAAGGUUAAUAACCUUAGCAAUUGACGUUAGCGACAGAAGAAGCACCGGCUAACUCCGUGCCAGCAGCCGCGGUAAUACGGAGGGUGCGAGCGUUAAUCGGAAUUACUGGGCGUAAAGGGCACGCAGGCGGUUAAUUAAGUUGGAUGUGAAAUCCCCGGGCUUAACCUGGGAAUGGCAUUCAAGACUGGUUAGCUAGAGUCUUGUAGAGGGGGUAGAAUUCCAUGUGUAGCGGUGAAAUGCGUAGAGAUGUGGAGGAAUACCGGUGGCGAAGGCGGCCCCUGGCAAAGACUGACGCUCAUGUGCGAAAGCGUGGGGAGCGAAACAGGGAUUAGAUACC
This 453-nucleotide ribosomal RNA is filed under the name uncultured bacterium. Its description in RNAcentral is "bacterial SSU rRNA". It matches the Rfam family "Bacterial small subunit ribosomal RNA", at positions 340 to 786 of the family's 1533-position model. The record is from RNAcentral.